UCAAUGUCCAGGUUGCUAA
This 19-nucleotide non-coding RNA is filed under the name Arabidopsis thaliana (thale cress). Lineage: Eukaryota; Viridiplantae; Streptophyta; Magnoliopsida; Brassicales; Brassicaceae. The record is from RNAcentral.